GACGAACGCUGGCGGCGUGCUUAACACAUGCAAGUCGAACGGAAAGGCCCCUUUGGGGGUACUCGAGUGGCGAACGGGUGAGUAACACGUGAGUAACCUGCCCUUGACUUCGGGAUAACUUCAGGAAACUGGGGCUAAUACCGGAUAGGAAUCCUUGCUGCAUGGUGGGGGUUGGAAAGCUUCGGCGGUUUUGGAUGGACUCGCGGCUUAUCAGCUUGUUGGUGGGGUAGUGGCUUACCAAGGCUUUGACGGGUAGCCGGCCUGAGAGGGCGACCGGCCACAUUGGGACUGAGAUACGGCCCAGACUCCUACGGGAGGCAGCAGUGGGGAAGAUUGAACAAUGGGCGGAAGCCUGAUGCAGCAACGCCGCGUGCGGGAUGACGGCCUUCGGGUUGUAAACCGCUUUCAGCAGGGGCGAAGCUUGUGGUGACGGUACCUGCAGAAGAAGCACCGGCUAACUACGUG
This 465-nucleotide ribosomal RNA is filed under the name uncultured bacterium. Its description in RNAcentral is "partial 16S ribosomal RNA". It matches the Rfam family "Bacterial small subunit ribosomal RNA", at positions 28 to 507 of the family's 1533-position model. The record is from RNAcentral.